UGGCUCAGUUGGUAGAGCAUGGUGUGUGCAACGCCAGGGUUGUGGGUUCGAUUCCCGC
Non-coding RNA from Salmo salar (Atlantic salmon), 58 nucleotides. Lineage: Eukaryota; Metazoa; Chordata; Actinopteri; Salmoniformes; Salmonidae. The record is from Rfam.